RNAcentral lists this ribosomal RNA (124 nucleotides) under Pogona vitticeps (central bearded dragon). The record is from RNAcentral. Lineage: Eukaryota; Metazoa; Chordata; Lepidosauria; Squamata; Agamidae.
CUCUGUUAAAAUACCCUGAACACACAUGAACUUGACUGAGUUUGGAAGCUAACCAGGGUCAGGCCUGGAUAGUACUUGGAUGGGGGACAGCCAGAAAUUUGAACACACCUGAACUUGACUGAGU